Oncorhynchus keta (chum salmon) is the source of this 1717-nucleotide non-coding RNA. The record is from the annotation of a RefSeq genome assembly. Lineage: Eukaryota; Metazoa; Chordata; Actinopteri; Salmoniformes; Salmonidae.
AGGACACUUUGCAUUGGCAGCACAUGCUUCAGUGGUCUGGGAGUGUUUAUAACCCUGUGAGUUUAACACUUCAUGACUGAGACCUGUUUUUCAUGACAACAGAACCCACAUCAACAAUGACUUUUAUCACCAUCUUCAUCUGGACACUUGCCCUCUACUUCAAGGACUCUAGAGGACAGAUCAUUGUGACUCAGACUCCUGCAGUGAAAGCUGUUCUCCCAGGACACUCAAUUUCUCUAAACUGUAAAGCCAGCAGUAAUGUGUAUGGUGAUUGUCUCAAUGGUCAGUCAUCGGGCCAUCAGUGUCUAUCCUGGUACCAACAGAAACCAGGAGAAAAGCCCAAACUCAUGAUGCUCCCAGGGAACACACUCUAUUCUGGGACUCCAUCUAGAUUCAGUGGCAGUGGAUCUGGGAGUGACUUCACUCUGACCAUCAGUGGAGUCCAGGCUGAAGAUGCAGGAUAUUACUACUGUCAGAGUUACCACAGUGGUAAUGUGUUCACACAGUGAUACAGAGCCGUACAAAAACCUCCCUCAGUCAGACUGCACAGUGACUGUACUGAUACAGCUGGGACCUACUGCAGGUGCUGAGGGGAGGAGAUGAUCCAGUACAAUGACACAGUGUGUAGUAGAGCUGAACAACAAUAGAGUCAAACUAGAGCUAUUUGUAGAAGACCUUAGAUCAUAACUGAUCACUAAAUGUUUCUCCUGACCAUUAACUACAUGUUGACUCUGUUGAGUAACUCAAGGAAAACCCUCAACCAAUCUGAAUAGAGAUGAUGUGCAAUGAUCCAAACCCCUAAAGAUGACCUGUGUUUUGAAUACACCCCUGGACAGUGAGGGUCAGGGUGCUGCUCCAGCUGUACAGACCGUCCUUCUCCAGGAUCCUGCUUUUGGCUGGUCCACUUUCCAGCUCAAGGUCCAGUCUGAGGGGAAGCUCUUGUUGGCCAGACAUGUCAGUGUGGCUGUUGUUAUACUGGACAGCUCCUCACUAGAGGGGGGCAGGACGGUCAGGUUAGGGGAACUGUUCCCUAGAAGAAACACAACUCAUCAAAAACAUCAAAACACAGUACACUUUGGAAAUUACUUCUAAAACUGUAUAUGAAUAUAAAAGUUAUAUUGCUGAAAGAUGUAGAGAAAACCUAAACAGCAAUAUGAUAUUAAACAAAUUACAAGUAUAAAGUAUACAAGUAUGUGUUUAAUUUUAGCAUUACUUUGCCAUACAGAUGUGUUUUUAGGAACGUAUCUGAUCAGAAAACUCAUAUUAAUAGUAUUUGCAGAAGCCAAGCAGUUGGACACAAACAAAACGUAGACCAUUUAUCUUCACAUUAAUAUUGUGGCUAUCAUAAACUCAAUGAAAUGAUGACUACUGUCAGGAUUUGGCCAGGGUUGUUCCGGUUUUUGGUCACUAGAUGCCCCCAUUGUGCCUUUUGACCUUUUGUUUUCCCUUGAUCCCCAUUAUUAUUUGCACCUGUGCCUCGUUUCCCCUGAUUGUAUUUAAACCCGUUGUUUUCCUCUGUUCUUUGCUCUGUUUUUUGUUCUUGUUUGUUUUUGAGUAUCUUUUGAGGCUUUUUGUGCUAUACCUUCCACCUUGUGGAUUUACCUUUUUGUCUUGGAGGAUUACCUUUGUUCUUGUGGAAUUCCUUUUGAGGUUGUGGAGUUACAUGUUUUCCUGAAGAACUUCACUUUUUACUUCAUUAAAUACACCGUCUCAAGUA